UAGCGGAGAAAUUCCAAUCGAACCCGGAGAUAGCUGGUUCUCUCCGAAAUAGCUUUAGGGCUAGCCUUGAAAUAGAUUACUGGAGGUAAAGCACUGAAUUGGCUAGGGGCCGAAAGGUUACUGAACCUUAUCAAACUCAGAAUGCCAGAUAAUCGUUUUUCAGGAGUCAGACGGUGGGAGAUAAGUUUCAUCGUCAAAAGGGAAACAGCCCAGACCCACAGCUAAGGUCCCAAAUUAUAGUUAAGUGGAGAAGGAUGUGGGAUUGCAUAGACAACCAGGAUGUUGGCUUAGAAGCAGCCACUCAUUAAAAGAGUGCGUAAUAGCUCACUGGUCGAGUGAUCCCGCGCCGAAAAUUUAACGGGGCUAAACUAUAAACCGAAGCUUGGGAUACCGCAAGGUAUGGUAGGAGAGCGUCAUGUAAGGGGUGAAGUCAUAGCGAAAGCGGUGGUGGACUUUACAUGAGUGAGAAUGCCGGAAUGAGUAGCGAGAAUUAAGUGAGAAUCUUAAUGGCCGAAAGUCUAAGGUUUUUGGAGGAAGGUUCGUCCGCUCCAAGUAAGUCGGGAGCUAAGGCGAGGCCGAAAGGCGUAGUCGAUGCACAUACGGUUGAUAUUCCGUAACCACUGACAACUUAAACAAAAUGACACUUUAGAAGGGCUUGACCCGGGUGCUGGUAAUCCCGGGCGUAAGGGACCGAAAUUUAGUAGGGAAGCAAGCUUGGAUGGAGGCGAGAAAAGUUUUGUGUAUGUAAUGUUGGUGCCCGUACCGCAAACCGACACAGGUGGACAGGAAGAGAAUUCUAAGGCCAGCGGGAGAAGGGUAGUUAAGGAACUCGGCAAAUUGACUCCGUAACUUCGGGAAAAGGAGUGCUCUCGAGAGAGAGCCGCAGUGAAUAGGCCCAGGCGACUGUUUAGCAAAAACACAGGUCUCUGCCAAAUCGAAAGAUGAAGUAUAGGGGCUGACACCUGCCCGGUGCUGGAAGGUUAAGAGGAGGAGUGAGAGCUCCGAAUUGAAGCCCCAGUAAACGGCGGCCGUAACUAUAACGGUCCUAAGGUAGCGAAAUUCCUUGUCGGGUAAGUUCCGACCCGCACGAAUGGUGUAACGAUCUGGGCACUGUCUCAACUACCCGCCCGGCGAAAUUGUAGUACCGGUGAAGAUGCCGGUUACCUGCGACAAGACGGAAAGACCCCAUGGAGCUUUACUGUAGCUUGAUAUUGGGUUUCGGUAAUUUAUGUACAGGAUAUGUGGGAGACUGGGAAGUUAUGGCGCCAGCCAUAAUGGAGUCGAUGUUGGGAUACCACACUUAGAUUGCUGGAAUUCUAACCUGUGGCCAUGAAACUGGUCAGGGGACAUUGUCAGGUGGGCAGUUUGACUGGGGCGGUCGCCUCCGAAAGAGUAACGGAGGCGCUCAAAGGUUGGCUCAGCACGGACGGAAACCGUGCAUUAGAGUGUAAACGCGUAAGCCAGCCUAACUGCGAGGGUGACGGCCCGAGCAGUAACGAAAGUUGGAGUUAGUGAUCCGGCGGUAUGUGAAUGGAAAUGCCGUCGCUCAACGGAUAAAAGCUACCCUGGGGAUAACAGGCUGAUCUCCCCCAAGAGU
RNAcentral lists this ribosomal RNA (1597 nucleotides) under human gut metagenome. Its description in RNAcentral is "bacterial LSU rRNA". It matches the Rfam family "Bacterial large subunit ribosomal RNA", at positions 816 to 2499 of the family's 2925-position model. The record is from RNAcentral.